Long non-coding RNA from Nanorana parkeri, 253 nucleotides. RefSeq lists it as uncharacterized. The transcript has 2 exons. The record is from RefSeq and is a predicted model, not a curated record. Lineage: Eukaryota; Metazoa; Chordata; Amphibia; Anura; Dicroglossidae.
ACAUAUCUAAUUUUGGCCCUUUGUCACUAAAACCUGGUCUGAUGCCCGGAGGGUCCCGCUCUCUGAUUGACAUGUUUCAUGAACAGAAAAAAAAGAAGCCCGCAGAGGAACUACCUGAGAACAGGACAGUUUUUGUUGCUGCUUUGGACGUUGAGAUUUCAUCAGCAUUAGGAACAUGUGCCUCCAUUAUUUCUAAUAAGAGCGAAGCUUCCAGCCAAAAUCCAAGUACUAUCACAGCUGCUUCUCCUGUGAA